CCCUUAGACGUUCUGGGCCGCACGCGCGCUACACUGACGAAGGCAACGAGCUUUCCUUUACCGAAAGGUACGGGUAAUCUUUUGAAACUUCGUCGUGCUGGGGAUAGAUCCUUGCAAUUUUUGAUCUUAAACGAGGAAUGCCUAGUAAGCGCAAGUCAUCAACUUGCGUUGAUUACGUCCCUGCCCUUUGUACACACCGCCCGUCGCUACUACCGAUUGAAUGGUUUAGCGAGGCCUUCGGAUCCGCGACUCGUUUGUGGAGAAGUUGGACAAACUCAGUCAUUUAGAGGAAGUAAAAGUCGUAACA
This 307-nucleotide ribosomal RNA is filed under the name uncultured eukaryote. RNAcentral's name for it is "partial 18S ribosomal RNA". It matches the Rfam family "Eukaryotic small subunit ribosomal RNA", at positions 1470 to 1796 of the family's 1831-position model. The record is from RNAcentral.